AUCUGUCGCGGGCGCAGGAAAUUUGAGAGGAGCUGUCCUUAGUACGAGAGGACCGGGAUGGACGCACCGCUGGUGUACCAGUUGUUCCGCCAGGAGCACCGCUGGGUAGCCAAGUGCGGACGGGAUAAGCGCUGAAAGCAUCUAAGCGCGAAGCCCACCUCAAGAUGAGAUUUCCCAUUCCUUCGUGGAAGUAAGACCCCUUGAAGAUGACAAGGUAGAUCGGUCCGAGGUGUAAGCACAGCAAUGUGUUCAGCUGACGGAUACGAAUCGGUCGAGGGCUUAUCCUA
RNAcentral lists this ribosomal RNA (287 nucleotides) under Thermoactinomyces sp. CICC 10523. Its description in RNAcentral is "partial 23S ribosomal RNA". It matches the Rfam family "Bacterial large subunit ribosomal RNA", at positions 2640 to 2925 of the family's 2925-position model. Lineage: Bacteria; Bacillati; Bacillota; Bacilli; Caryophanales; Thermoactinomycetaceae. The record is from RNAcentral.